CUCAAGUCUCCUACGCUGUUAGAAGUUCCUUCAUUUUAUUCUUAGUGCUUUGUACACUUAAUAAUAGAUGUCGCUCUACAACUUCUUUUUAUAUGUUAUUUUUUAUAUAAAAAACUGUUAAAAUAACUAAUGUGUUUAUAAAUUAAAGUAUUUUUUUUAUGUUCGAAAAAUAUUGAUUCAUAUAUACUAUUCACUUCACAUGAAUUGACUAGAGAGGAAAUUGAGAGAACAAGCGCAAUUUUUUUCAUUUCUAUUAUACUUUAUUUUAUUGUUUUGUAAUUUUUUAUUUUAUUUUAUUUAAUUUUUUGUAAAUUUGUAAGAUCGCUUGAUUCUUUGAUUUUUAUAAAUUCACUUUAAAAAUGAUGGAUUUUAUAUAGUUAAACAUUACAAUAUACGUAUAGAAAACUUUUCUCUGUGUAUACACUAGGGGUAUAAGUGAGGUUAGUGAAACACCAGAAAAAGAUUGAAGAGUUCAUAGACUAUACGUAGAAGGAUAUUCAAAAAGUCCAUGAAACUUAGUAAAGAUACCAAAAAGAAAAAAAGUUCCAGUUUAGAGCUCGGUCGUCAUGUGAUUCGUUAAAGCUUGGACACGUUUUGCGUUACAACUUUUACAUAAAAUGUGACCGUCUAAUGGAUAACAACCUCUACCUUCUGCUUCGGAUGAUAAAACUAAGCCACAAUCCUACAAAAAAAAAAUCAACAUCCAAUUAGUCAGCGGGAAAAAAUAUUUGGUAUACUCACUUCGCAUUUAUAGCACUGUACGUGGAAACUGUGAUCUAGUGCUACUACUCGUACCGUUUCUUCUUCGCCAGGUUCAGGCAUGAUUGGUUGUUUACAAACCCAACAUUUCGGAGCGAAAAUCCUGAGAAGAAAUUUGAAGAAAUAACAAGUAAAUGUGAUUUUUAUAUUAAUUUUUACUCACUUAUGAAAAUCUUCGAUGCAAUGGACUCUAUUGGAAGCAUCGACUGUAAAAGGUAUACCAUCAAGGCUCUUUCCGCAAACAACACAACAGAAACAUUUUGGAUGGUAUGGUUUACCCGUCGCUCUUAAAAUUCUAUCUAAUAUAGGAUUUUGACAAACGCAGCAUUUUUCCAAAGUAUUC
Diorhabda carinulata is the source of this 1102-nucleotide long non-coding RNA. RefSeq lists it as uncharacterized. The record is from RefSeq and is a predicted model, not a curated record. Lineage: Eukaryota; Metazoa; Arthropoda; Insecta; Coleoptera; Chrysomelidae. The transcript is spliced from 2 exons.